Molecule: ribosomal RNA, 253 nt
Filed under: uncultured bacterium
Lineage: Bacteria
Description: partial 16S ribosomal RNA
Rfam family: Bacterial small subunit ribosomal RNA
Source: RNAcentral
UACGUAGGGGGCAAGCGUUGUCCGGAAUCAUUGGGCGUAAAGAGCGUGUAGGCGGCCCGAUAAGUCCGCUGUGAAAGUCCAGGGCUCAACCCUGGAAUGCCGAUGGAUACUGCGGAGCUAGAGUCCGGAAGAGGCGAGUGGAAUUCCUGGUGUAGCGGUGAAAUGCGCAGAUAUCAGGAGGAACACCAAUGGCGAAGGCAGCUCGCUGGGACGGUACUGACGCUGAGACGCGAAAGCGUGGGGAGCAAACAGG